CUGCGGUGAUGACUCUCUUAGGACACCUUUGGAUGUAACCGUGAAAAGAAAGCGAAAUUCCUGAGCGGC
This is a small nucleolar RNA of Lepidothrix coronata (blue-crowned manakin), 69 nucleotides long. Its record names the gene SNORD58. It matches the Rfam family "Small nucleolar RNA SNORD58". From Rfam's summary of the family: snoRNA U58 is found in introns 1, 3 and 6 of the ribosomal protein RPL17 gene in humans. U58 is a member of the C/D class of snoRNA which contain C (UGAUGA) and D (CUGA) box motifs. Lineage: Eukaryota; Metazoa; Chordata; Aves; Passeriformes; Pipridae. The record is from Ensembl.